AGAGUUUGAUCCUGGCUCAGGACGAACGCUGGCGGCAUGCCUAACACAUGCAAGUCGAACGAGACCUUCGGGUCUAGUGGCGCACGGGUGCGUAACGCGUGGGAAUCUGCCCUCUGGUACGGAAUAACUCAGGGAAACUUGAGCUAAUACCGUAUAAUGACUUCGGUCCAAAGAUUUAUCGCCUGAGGAUGAGCCCGCGUAGGAUUAGCUUGUUGGUGAGGUAAAAGCUCACCAAGGCGACGAUCCUUAGCUGGUCUGAGAGGAUGAUCAGCCACACUGGGACUGAGACACGGCCCAGACUCCUACGGGAGGCAGCAGUGGGGAAUAUUGGACAAUGGGCGAAAGCCUGAUCCAGCAAUGCCGCGUGAGUGAUGAAGGCCUUAGGGUUGUAAAGCUCUUUUACCCGGGAAGAUAAUGACUGACCGGAGAAUAAGCCCC
This 438-nucleotide ribosomal RNA is filed under the name uncultured Alphaproteobacteria bacterium. RNAcentral's name for it is "bacterial SSU rRNA". It matches the Rfam family "Bacterial small subunit ribosomal RNA", at positions 8 to 494 of the family's 1533-position model. The record is from RNAcentral. Lineage: Bacteria; Pseudomonadati; Pseudomonadota; Alphaproteobacteria.